CACACCGCCCGUCACACCAUGGGAGUUUGUUGCACCAGAAGCAGGUAGCUUAACCGCAAGGGGGGCGCUUGCCACGGUGUGCCGAUGACUGGGGUG
RNAcentral lists this ribosomal RNA (96 nucleotides) under uncultured bacterium. Its description in RNAcentral is "partial 16S ribosomal RNA". It matches the Rfam family "Bacterial small subunit ribosomal RNA", at positions 1386 to 1482 of the family's 1533-position model. The record is from RNAcentral.